This 251-nucleotide ribosomal RNA is filed under the name uncultured bacterium. Its description in RNAcentral is "partial 16S ribosomal RNA". It matches the Rfam family "Bacterial small subunit ribosomal RNA", at positions 524 to 776 of the family's 1533-position model. The record is from RNAcentral.
UACAGAGGUCUCAAGCGUUGUUCGGAUUCAUUGGGCGUAAAGGGUGUGUAGGUGGCGCCGUAAGUCGGGUGUGAAAUUUCGGAGCUUAACUCCGAAACUGCAUUCGAUACUGCGGUGCUUGAGGACUGGAGAGGAGACUGGAAUUCAUGGUGUAGCAGUGAAAUGCGUAGAGAUCAUGAGGAAGACCAGUGGCGAAGGCGGGUCUCUGGACAGUUCCUGACACUGAGCACGAAGGCCAGGGAGCAAACGGG